GAGAUACAAAGGGACUUUUGUGGUCCGCUUUCCUUGCUGAUGGAGAGGAAUAGUGUCACUCCCAUUUGACUCGGUAACCCGGCAGCUUCCUGUCUUAAACGCAGAGCUGGCGCGCAGGACACUCCUCCUGCAGACACUUAUUCUCCAGCUGUCUCUUGGACGCCUCCACUGGAAGGCCGACGGGCAUCUUCAAUUUCACGUGUUCACUUCAGAGCACCCCUGAGCCGGCUACCCCUGCUCCCCUGAUCUGCGCCUUCCCAGUUUCUCCCAGUCACCCAGCUGGCCACCGCGCAGGAGACAUCCCUGAUCCUUCAUUUUCUCUCUGGAGUCACCCCCUGUCAAUUAGCAAGGCCUGUUGGCUCUGCCUCCACAUCUGUUCCACAGCUCCCCCAUACUCCUCCGUCCUCCACUAGCCCCCAAGCCCUUUCCCCUGCACCUGCAGGGUUGCAUGGCCUCUUAACCAGCUCUCCACCUCACACGUGUGCCCUGUGGUUCACUGUUCUCCAUACAACAGAGUAAGCUUCAGCUCAGACCUAUCCUUGGUCAAAACCAGUGGUUUCCACGUGCACUGAGAAUUAGACACAUUCUUACAAUGUCCUUCAAGGCACCAUGAAAUCCACCCACCACUUCCCUUAACUGAGGUUCUAAGUCUAGUUUUGCCAGUUCUUGAGCCUCCAAGCCAUGGCCACCUCAGGGGAGCUCUUUUCCUUUGGUCCUGGCUCUUUAUUCAUCUGGUACAUUCUUUCUGUGCAUCUUUGGGCACAGACUGUCCCCCAGAGAAAGGUCAUACGAUCUAAAAUGACUCCCUAAUCCAGUUCUGUUCCCCACAGCACUUACGGCUACUUGCAGUUGUAAAGGUGUUGGUGCGUUUUUUAUUGGUCUCUCAUCUAGAACGUACCUUCCGGAGGGCAGGGCCUUGUCAUCUUCCUGGCUGUACCCCCAGUCCUGCUAAAGGGACUGGCAUACAGUAACAUGAAGCCAGUGCUCUCAGACUUUCUGGUCACAGGACUGCUUUAUGCUCUUAGGAAUUACUGAGCUCCCGAAAGAGCUUUUGUAUAUAGCAACAGAUAGAUUUAGACAUCUAUCCAGUGAUUUGCACAGUAUUAGAGAUUGAAAUCGUAAUGUUUUAAAUAUAUUGAUUAAUUGAUUCAUUUACAAUGACAAUAAAAACCCACUUCAUGUUUACUUAACAUAUUUUUAUGAACAUUUAUUCUAUUCCCCCAAACAAAAAAAAAAUAGUCUGAAGAGUGGUCUACAUUUUUGUACCCCUCUUUAAUAUCUGGCUUAAUUAAUAGAAGAUAGUUGGAUUCUCAUUUUUCCUUGUGCAAUCCAUUAUUUUGGUUCAAGUAUAUGAAGAAAAUGCAAUCUGUCACAGAUAUGUAGUUGAAAACUGGAGGAGUAUUUUUCAGCCUUGGCAGAUAAUUGUGGAUAUUUUUCCUUGAUAUUACCCCAAAAUUCAACAAAUGGUGGUUUCUUAAAGGUUGGUUGCAAUGUGGAAUCUGAAACCAUGUCAAUGAACAUUUCGUACUCUAUUACAUUAAAAUCCAU
Molecule: long non-coding RNA, 1548 nt
Organism: Papio anubis (olive baboon)
Lineage: Eukaryota; Metazoa; Chordata; Mammalia; Primates; Cercopithecidae
Source: Ensembl